This 253-nucleotide ribosomal RNA is filed under the name uncultured bacterium. Its description in RNAcentral is "partial 16S ribosomal RNA". It matches the Rfam family "Bacterial small subunit ribosomal RNA", at positions 524 to 776 of the family's 1533-position model. The record is from RNAcentral.
UACGGGGGGGGCAAGCGUUGUUCGGAAUUACUGGGCGUAAAGGGCUCGUAGGCGGCCAACUAAGUCAGACGUGAAAUCCCUCGGCUUAACCGGGGAACUGCGUCUGAUACUGGACGGCUUGAAUUCGGGAGAGGGAUGCAGAAUUCCAGGUGUAGCGGUGAAAUGCGUAGAUAUCUGGAGGAAUACCGGUGGCGAAGGCGGCAUCCUGGACCGAUAUUGACACUGAUGAGCGAAAGCUAGGGGAGCAAACGGG